GGGGAGUUGCCCGAGUGGCCAAUGGGAACAGACUGUAAAUCUGUCGGCGAAUGCCUUCGCAGGUUCGAAUCCUGCACUCCCCACCA
RNAcentral lists this transfer RNA (86 nucleotides) under Pseudomonadota bacterium. RNAcentral describes it as "tRNA-Tyr". It matches the Rfam family "tRNA". From Rfam's summary of the family: Transfer RNA (tRNA) molecules are approximately 80 nucleotides in length. Their secondary structure includes four short double-helical elements and three loops (D, anti-codon, and T loops). RNAcentral also lists the same sequence under 3 other names. Lineage: Bacteria; Pseudomonadati; Pseudomonadota. The record is from RNAcentral.